RNAcentral lists this ribosomal RNA (497 nucleotides) under uncultured bacterium. RNAcentral's name for it is "partial 16S ribosomal RNA". It matches the Rfam family "Bacterial small subunit ribosomal RNA", at positions 28 to 507 of the family's 1533-position model. The record is from RNAcentral.
GAUGAACGCUGGCGGCGUGCCUAAUACAUGCAAGUCGAGCGAACAGACGAGGAGCUUGCUCCUCUGACGUUAGCGGCGGACGGGUGAGUAACACGUGGAUAACCUACCUAUAAGACUGGGAUAACUUCGGGAAACCGGAGCUAAUACCGGAUAAUAUAUUGAACCGCAUGGUUCAAUAGUGAAAGACGGUUUUGCUGUCACUUAUAGAUGGAUCCGCGCCGCAUUAGCUAGUUGGUAAGGUAACGGCUUACCAAGGCAACGAUGCGUAGCCGACCUGAGAGGGUGAUCGGCCACACUGGAACUGAGACACGGUCCAGACUCCUACGGGAGGCAGCAGUAGGGAAUCUUCCGCAAUGGGCGAAAGCCUGACGGACCAACGCCGCGUGAGUGAUGAAGGUCUUCGGAUCGUAAAACUCUGUUAUUAGGGAAGAACAAAUGUGUAAGUAACUAUGCACGUCUUGACGGUACCUAAUCAGAAAGCCGCGGCUAACUACGUG